AGAGGAGGAAGGAAAGCCCUGGCCCAGGAGCACCUGUGAGGCCCGUGUCUGAGCAGCUUCUGUGGGCUCCCUGACGGCCUUUUUCUUUCGGACUUCCUCACCGGAUUCCAAAGGAAAAGGCCGGCUGGCAGCUCCCGAGCCGGCGAGCCGGCAGCCGGCGGGGCUGUGAGGGCUUUCCCAGCACUGCCCGAGGAAGCGCCCUUGCUGACCUCGUCACCAGGGGGAAAGGAUCUGUGCCCCCCACCCAUCCGGAUCCCGACCACCUGGGAUUCAGCGCAUCGAUGUCCCCUCCCCAACCCCUUGUCCUCCCUUUCGUGCCAUUGGGAGAAAUCUCCAAAGUUGCUUUUCUAAUAGAGGCACCAGCUGUGGGCCAGAGCCACCAACCCCUCCCCGGCCCCGCCCCCGCCAUGGGUGGACACAGCAAUCCGGUCCCACUGGGUGGGGUGGGGUUGUGUUCUCAUUAUCAGGUUUCACUUAAGCCUGUGCUCGCAGCGUGGAGAUGGCACAACGCAGAAGCCAGGUGUAGAGGCGGGCGCUCCUCCCCUGGGCUGUGUGAUACCGCCGCGUGCGCGGACGCCCUGGCAGGUACACUGUGUGCUCCUUGUGCUCAUUGGUGGAAGGUGCCUCGGGCUGCUCCCUGAGGUACCCAGCCUCCCAAGCAAGAGCAAAGGCGCAUGUGUCUGAGGAUGUUCCCGUUCCAGCACACAGGCUUUUCAGGGGCGAGGUGGCCUUCGGCCCCGCGGGUGCUGCCCAUGAAGGCACCAACAGCUCCCUUCGAGCCGGUGGGGCUGCCUCAGCUCCCGUCUCUGGACUAAAAGGCACUUAAGCGCUCAGAAAGUGCUUGUGCCAGAUGUGCCAACUAAUAAGCACAUCUAUUUGCAUGGCUCGCUACCCCUCCUGCUAGACGGAGCUGUUGGUAACACACAGGGUCCAAGUUCUCCGAGUCAGCUGGUUAGAAUGUGCACCCGGUUGCACCAUCGUCAACCAAGGUGAAAGGCGAAAAAUGAUCUCCAAGCGGAUACUUGGGCCUCGACGCUUUCAAAACACCAUUUUCUUUUGUUUUUUAAAAUCAGUCCUUGUUACCUACCUGUUUUAUAUACGGUAAUGAGUGUGUGUGAGUGAGUGUGUGUGUGUGUGUGUGUGUGUGUGAGAGAGAGUGUGUGAGUUAGUGUGUGUGUGUGUGUGUGUGAACCCCAACCCCCUAACCUACCCCUCUUGCCCACAUUGCCCCUUUGUAAACCGUGAAUGCAGUUUCAAAAUCUUUGAGACUCUUUCUUCUUUGUAAGUUUUUUUUUAAUCUUUUUUUUAGAUCCCACAUAUUAAUGAUCUCAUAUGGUAUUUGUCUUUGUCUGACUUCACUAAGUGUGAUAAUUUCUAGGUCCAUCCACGUUGCUGCAAAUGGCCUUAUUUCAUUCUUUUUUAUGGCUCAUGUUCCAUUGCAUCCAUGUACCACAUCUUUUUGAUCCAGUCCUCUGUUGAUGGACAUUUAGGUGGCUUCCAUGUCUUGGCAAUUGUAAAUAGCGCUGUAAUGAACAGUGGGAUGCAUGUAUAUUUUUGAGGUACAGUUUUAUCUGAAUAGAUGCCCAGGAAUGGGACUGCUGGAUCAUACGGUAGUUCUGUAUUUUAGUUUUUUAAGGAACCUCCAUACUGUUCUCCACAGUGGUUGUACCAAUUUACCUUCCCACCAGCAGUGCAGGAGAAUUCCCUUUUCACCACAUGCUCUCCAGCAUUUACUGUUUGUAGCUUUUUGAUGAUGGCCAUUCUGACUAAUGUGAGAUGAAACCUCAUAGUAGUUUUGACUUGUAUUUCUCUAAUAAUUAGUGAUGCUGAGCAUCUUUUUAUGCGUUUUUUGGCUUGUCUGUCUGUCUUUGGAGAAAUGUCUGUUUAGAUCUUCUGCCCAAUUUUUUAUUGGGCUCUUGGGUUUUUUGUUUUGUUUUGUUUUGUUUGUUUGUUGAGAUGAGCUACAUGAGUUAGUAUAUUUUGGAGAUUAAUCCCUUGUCAGUUGCUUCCUUUGCAAAUAUUUUCUCCCCUUCUGUGGGUUGUCUUUUCAUUUUGUUUAUGGUUUCAUUUUCUGUACAAAAACUUUUAAUUAGGUCCCAUUUGUUUAUUUCUGUCAAAACACUAUUUUAAAAGUGAGGCCCAGAGUUCCCACUGUGGUGCAAUGGGGUGGCCUCUCUGUAGCAUCAGGAUGCAGGUUCAGUCCCCACCUGGUGCAGCGGGUUAAGGAUCCGGUAUUGCCAUUGACAGGUUGCAGCUUCUGCUCAGAUCUGAGCCCUUGAUUUUGCCUCUGUGGCAAAGGGUAAAGCAGCGGCCCCUGGAAGUCUUCUCCACCCACCUUAUUGUUGGCUUUGAAGCGAGGUGCCGGGAUCAGUUUUUAGACACUGAAAUGGACAGACCAUUUUAAUGGGGUUUUGUUUAAACAUUUCUUGACUCCUUCGCCCACAGCUUAAACAACCCAGGGAUGGUUAGAUUGUUACUGUGUUGGGGGACGAACAGCCUAAGGAAAAAUAUGCAAAAUCUCUAAUUCUUCAUCCGUAAUAUGUAAGAGGUGGAACAAAUAAUUGCUUUUGUCCCUUGUUAGAUCACAAACGACAGGAAUCAAUAGGACGCAAGCUUAGGAAAUGCUAGAUUCUGCUUUACCCAAGCAAGAGAUGUGGCCCGAAGCCAUCCCCGUGGUGAAUCCCUGGAAAAAAGAGAGAGAGAGAAGGCGCUCAAAGACAGGGCGUCCCUCAGGAAACCAGCCCCCCCGUGAGUCCGUGUAAACACCUGUCCGUGGAGAGGGACUGCCGGGGCUGGUUGAUAUUCACGGAUCUCUCUAAACAAUCUCCGGAUUUUUGUUUGUUUUUCUUUCACUUUGUACUCUUUUGUUUUUUAAAAAGUUCCCGUCUAAGUGAUGUCCUAAAAAUGAGCAUGGCUGUGUCCAGGAAAUUACAGCAUCGUAACACUUAGAAACAAGAACAUGCUUCAGAAUAAAGUCACCAGCCAUCACAUGCCAUGGCGAUUUGGCUGCCAAACUCCUCACUGCUUGUUAGAACGAGGCUGUGCGCACAAAGCUCAGAGAGCGUUUAAACCUUGCAGUGAAUUUGCCUUGGUUGACCUGAUGGCUCCAGUACCUUUUGUGGUGACAGUCUGCUGUUUCUCCAUUUGCUCUAACUUCAGCACUGCCACAUGACAGAGAAGGAGGAAAUGGCACAGCCAGAAGGAGCCAGCGUUCCCACUGUUGCUCAGUGGAUCAAGAAUCUGACUGCAGGAGUUCCUGUCGUGGCGAAGUGGAAAUGAAUCCGACCAGGAACCAUGAGGUAGCGGGUUCGAUCAGUGGGUUAAGGAUCCGUGUUGCCGUGAGUUGUGGUGUAGGUCGCAGACGUGGCUUGGAUCUGAUCUUGCUCCCGCUGUGGGGUAGACCAGCAGCUAUAGCUCCGAUUAGACCCCUAGCCUGGAAACGUCCAUAUGC
Molecule: long non-coding RNA, 3451 nt
Filed under: Sus scrofa (pig)
Lineage: Eukaryota; Metazoa; Chordata; Mammalia; Artiodactyla; Suidae
Description: lncRNA (ENSSSCG00000052420.1)
Source: RNAcentral